UCAGGAUAUACCUCAAUGUUAGAAUGCUUGCCUAGUAUGUGUGAGGCCCUGGGUUCAAUCCCCAGUACUGAA
Molecule: transfer RNA, 72 nt
Filed under: Marmota monax (woodchuck)
Lineage: Eukaryota; Metazoa; Chordata; Mammalia; Rodentia; Sciuridae
Description: tRNA.Thr
Source: RNAcentral